This 675-nucleotide ribosomal RNA is filed under the name uncultured organism. RNAcentral describes it as "bacterial SSU rRNA". It matches the Rfam family "Bacterial small subunit ribosomal RNA", at positions 83 to 793 of the family's 1533-position model. The record is from RNAcentral.
UCUUCGGAGCUAGUGGCGGACGGGUGAGUAACGCGUGAGAAUCUGCCUUCAGGAGGGGGAUAACGACUGGAAACGGUCGCUAAUACCCCAUAUGCCUCCGGGUGAAAAGUAAUUCGCCUGAAGAUGAGCUCGCGUCAGAUUAGCUAGUUGGUGGGGUAAGAGCCUACCAAGGCGACGAUCUGUAGCUGGUCUGAGAGGAUGAUCAGCCACACUGGGACUGAGACACGGCCCAGACUCCUACGGGAGGCAGCAGUGGGGAAUUUUCCGCAAUGGGCGCAAGCCUGACGGAGCAAGACCGCGUGGGGGAUGACGGCCUAAUGGUUGUAAACCCCUUUUCUCUGGGAAGAAGACUGACGGUACCAGAGGAAUCAGCCUCGGCUAACUCCGUGCCAGCAGCCGCGGUAAUACGGAGGAGGCAAGCGUUAUCCGGAAUUAUUGGGCGUAAAGCGUCCGUAGGUGGUUAUUCAAGUCUGCUGUCAAAGCGUGGGGCUUAACUCCAUAGAGGCAGUGGAAACUGAGUGACUAGAGUGCGGUAGGGGUCGAGGGAAUUCCCAGUGUAGCGGUGAAAUGCGUAGAUCUUGGGAAGAACACCAGUGGCGAAAGCGCUCGACUGGGCCUGCACUGACACUGAGGGACGAACGCUAGGGGAGCGAAAGGGAUUAGAUACCCCUGUAG